AGGGAGAAUCUGUCCUGAAGCCCAGC
Molecule: non-coding RNA, 26 nt
Filed under: Rattus norvegicus (Norway rat)
Lineage: Eukaryota; Metazoa; Chordata; Mammalia; Rodentia; Muridae
Source: RNAcentral